AAAUCAUCUGAUGAGAAGAAAACUGCAACAAUAUGAAACUUUAAAGUCCAUGAUUCGUUUGUAUUUAAGUCUCUGAUGAUU
This is a small nucleolar RNA of Coffea eugenioides, 81 nucleotides long. RefSeq annotates it as small nucleolar RNA Z199. The record is from RefSeq and is a predicted model, not a curated record. The transcript has a single exon. NCBI's taxonomy places the organism in Eukaryota, Viridiplantae, Streptophyta, Magnoliopsida, Gentianales, Rubiaceae.